GGAAGGAGAGAGAUCUUUGUUUAGAGAAAGACCCUGACAGUUUCCAUUGAAGAUGGAGAAUAAGACCUGUUAAAGAAAUCUGGAAGGAGGCACUGAAACCCGGAACUCCUGGGCUAGCCUACUUGAAGAUGAGACACCAUGUGGAGCAGAGAAGCCUUCCCAGCCGAGCCCCACAGACCAAACCGGGUUUCUAGUUGCAAGAUCAUCUAUCCCCAGUGGAGCUGCCAGCUUACUGGAGAGUCAGCUGAGCCAACCCAUGCCUGAAGAACUCUCAGCUGACCCAGAGAAUGAUGAGAAAUAAUAAACAUGAGAAAUAAAGUUUGUUGUUUUAAGCCACU
Molecule: long non-coding RNA, 338 nt
Filed under: Homo sapiens (human)
Lineage: Eukaryota; Metazoa; Chordata; Mammalia; Primates; Hominidae
Description: HSALNT0188106
Source: RNAcentral